GUCAGAGCGAACAGAUAAGGAGCUUGCUCCUUUGACGUUAGCGGCGGACGGGUGAGUAACACGUGGGUAACCUACCUAUAAGACUGGAAUAACUCCGGGAAACCGGGGCUAAUGCCGGAUAACAUUUAGAACCGCAUGGUUCUAAAGUGAAAGAUGGUUUUGCUAUCACUUAUAGAUGGACCCGCGCCGUAUUAGCUAGUUGGUAAGGUAACGGCUUACCAAGGCAACGAUACGUAGCCGACCUGAGAGGGUGAUCGGCCACACUGGAACUGAGACACGGUCCAGACUCCUACGGGAGGCAGCAGUAGGGAAUCUUCCGCAAUGGGCGAAAGCCUGACGGAGCAACGCCGCGUGAGUGAUGAAGGUCUUCGGAUCGUAAAACUCUGUUAUUAGGGAAGAACAAAUGUGUAAGUAACUAUGCACGUCUUGACGGUACCUAAUCAGAAAGCCACGGCUAACUACGUGCCAGCAGCCGCGGUAAUACGUAGGUGGCAAGCGUUAUCCGGAAUUAUUGGGCGUAAAGCGCGCGUAGGCGGUUUCUUAAGUCUGAUGUGAAAGCCCACGGCUCAACCGUGGAGGGUCAUUGGAAACUGGGAAACUUGAGUGCAGAAGAGGAAAGUGGAAUUCCAUGUGUAGCGGUGAAAUGCGCAGAGAUAUGGAGGAACACCAGUGGCGAAGGCGACUUUCUGGUCUGUAACUGACGCUGAUGUGCGAAAGCGUGGGGAUCAAACAGGAUUAGAUACCCUGGUA
Molecule: ribosomal RNA, 750 nt
Filed under: Staphylococcus sp.
Lineage: Bacteria; Bacillati; Bacillota; Bacilli; Caryophanales; Staphylococcaceae
Description: bacterial SSU rRNA
Rfam family: Bacterial small subunit ribosomal RNA
Source: RNAcentral